GACGAACCGUGCGAACGUUGUUCGGAAUCACUGGGCGUAAAGGGCGCGUAGGCGGCGUGUCAAGUCAGGCGUGAAAGCCCCGGGCUCAACCUGGGAACCGCGCUUGAGACUGGCAUGCUCGAGUUCGGGAGAGGAUGGUGGAAUUCCCAGUGUAGAGGUGAAAUUCGUAGAUAUUGGGAAGAACACCGAUGGUGAAGGCAGCCAUCUGGACCGACACUGACGCUGAGGCGCGAAAGCGUGGGGAGCAAACAGG
RNAcentral lists this ribosomal RNA (253 nucleotides) under uncultured bacterium. Its description in RNAcentral is "partial 16S ribosomal RNA". It matches the Rfam family "Bacterial small subunit ribosomal RNA", at positions 524 to 776 of the family's 1533-position model. The record is from RNAcentral.